CUCAAGCCCCACCUCCCGCUUCUGUGGAGAAUUGGAGCAUAAAGGGAUUGAGGAUUUGAGGGUGGCUUUUUAAUCUCAAAAAGGCAAGACAUAAUCAAGUGAAGAGGUAAUCCGACAGCACAGGAGGUGAAAGGGAAGAUGCUGCUAACCUGUCCACCGCGUGAUCCUGGUACCGGCCGCGAUCUCUGUGGUCAAAGCUGUGGAAGCGGUCUUGACGGCUGAAGUCUGAAUGGUAUCGGUCAUUCAUGGCCAUCCGCUUCGCCUCGGGCCAGUACGAAUCAUCACGCCUGCAAGGAAAACAGACUCAGCGUUGGACCGAAGACCCUGUGCCAGAAGUUGCUGACAGUGCCCCAGCCCUGAAGACUGGUGUCACUUGGACCCCAUUUACUGGGAGAAACAUAACCCCUUUCAACGUGGCGAGGGACACCCAACUCAGGGACAGCCG
This is a long non-coding RNA of Hemicordylus capensis (graceful crag lizard), 445 nucleotides long. RefSeq lists it as uncharacterized. The record is from RefSeq and is a predicted model, not a curated record. The transcript is spliced from 3 exons. Lineage: Eukaryota; Metazoa; Chordata; Lepidosauria; Squamata; Cordylidae.